This 463-nucleotide ribosomal RNA is filed under the name fungal sp. RNAcentral describes it as "eukaryotic LSU rRNA". The stretch from base 110 to 263 matches the Rfam family "5.8S ribosomal RNA". Lineage: Eukaryota; Fungi. The record is from RNAcentral.
GUUGCUUUGGCAGACCCGGCUUCGGCCCACCGGCUCCGGCUGGUCAGUGUCUGCCAGAGGACCUAAAACUCUGUUUGUUAAUAUUGUCUGAGUACUAUAUAAUAGUUAAAACUUUCAACAACGGAUCUCUUGGUUCUGGCAUCGAUGAAGAACGCAGCGAAAUGCGAUAAGUAAUGUGAAUUGCAGAAUUCAGUGAAUCAUCGAAUCUUUGAACGCACAUUGCGCCCUCUGGUAUUCCGGGGGGCAUGCCUGUUCGAGCGUCAUUACAACCCUCAAGCUUUGCUUGGUAUUGGACAUUGCCAGUUUCUGGCAGGUCUUAAAAUCAGUGGCGGUGCCAUUUGGCUUCAAGCGUAGUAAUUCUUCUCGCUUUGGAGAUCCAAGUGGUUACUUGCCAAUAACCCCCAAUUUUUUCAGGUUGACCUCGGAUCAGGUAGGGAUACCCGCUGAACUUAAGCAUAUCAAU